CCUUACUGCUAUCGGGACGAGAUUUAGCCAUGCAAGUCGAGCGCUUCCUAGCUAUGUUGGAAGCGCGGCGUACAGCUCAGUAACACGUAGUCAACCUACCCUUGGAAUGGAGAUAAUCCCGGGAAACUGGGUCUAAUAUCCAAUAGGUGAGAGAACUUGGAAUAGUUUUUCGCUGAAAGGGUGUCAAAAACAUGCUUUUGAUAUUGUCCAAGGACGGGACUGCGACCGAUCAGGUUGUUGGUAGGGUAACGGCCUACCAAGCCUAUAACCGGUACGGGCCCUGAGAGGGGUAGCCCGGAGAUGGGAACUGAGACAAGGUCCCAGGCCCCACGGGGCGCAGCAGGCGCGGAACCUCCACAAUGCACGAAAGUGCGAUGGGGUUAUCCCGAGUGCCGUCCGUUGAGGAUGGCUUUUCCUUGGUGUAAGGAGCCGAGGGAAUAAGAGGGGGGCAGGACUGGUGUCAGCCGCCGCGGUAAUACCAGCUCCUCGAGUUGUAAGGACGAUUAUUUAGCCUAAAGCGUUCGUAGCUGGCUUAGUAAAUCCCUUGUGAAAUCCGACGAUUCAAUCGUCGGGCGUGCGAGGGAAACUGCUAGGCUAGGGGGUGGGAGAAGUCAACGGUAGUCUCAGGGUAGGGGUGAAAUCCUAUAAUCCUGAGAGGACCACCAGUGGCGAAGGCGGUUGACUAGAACAUGCCCGACAGUGAUGGACGAAAGCUGGGGGAGCGAACCGGAUUAGAUACCCGGGUAGUCCCAGCUGUAAACGAUGCGGGCUAGGUGUUGGGGUAGCCAAGAGCUACCCCAGUGCCGCAGGGAAGCCCUUAAGCCCGCCGCUUGGGAAGUACGGUCGCAAGGCUGAAACUUAAAGGAAUUGGCGGGGGAGCACCACAAGGGGUGAAGGCUGCGGUUUAAUUGGAGUCAACGCCGGGAAACUUACCGGGGCCGACAGCAGAAUGAAGGUCAGACUGAAGAUCUUACCAGACAAGCUGAGAGGUGGCGCAUGGCCGUCGCCAGUUCGUGCCGUGAGGUGUCCUCUUAAGUGAGGCAACGAACGAGACCCCCGCUACUAGUUGCCAGCGGAUUCCUUCGGAAUGCCGGGUACUCUAGUAGGACUGCCACCGAUAAGGUGGAGGAGGGAGGGGGCUACGGCAGGUCAGUAUGCCCCGAAUGCCCCGGGCCACACGCGGCCUGCAAUGGUAGGGACAGAGAGUUUCGACUCCGAAAGGAGAAGGCAAUCCCUAAACCCUAUCUCAGUUGGGAUUGAGGGCUGAAACUCGCCCUCAUGAACAUGGAAUCCCUAGUAACCGCAUGUCAUCAUCAUGCGGUGAAUACGUCCCUGCUCCUUGCACACACCGCCCGUCGCUCCACCCAAAUCGGGUCCGGAUGAGGCUCAGUCGUUUUGGCUGUGUCGAAUCUAGGUUCGGUGAGGAGGGAG
Molecule: ribosomal RNA, 1431 nt
Filed under: uncultured archaeon
Lineage: Archaea
Description: bacterial SSU rRNA
Rfam family: Archaeal small subunit ribosomal RNA
Source: RNAcentral